This 253-nucleotide ribosomal RNA is filed under the name uncultured bacterium. RNAcentral's name for it is "partial 16S ribosomal RNA". It matches the Rfam family "Bacterial small subunit ribosomal RNA", at positions 524 to 776 of the family's 1533-position model. The record is from RNAcentral.
UACGUAGGAUCCAAGCGUUGUCCGGAUUUACUGGGUGUAAAGGGUGCGCAGGCGGACUGGUUAGUCUGGGGUGAAAUCUCAUCGCUCAACGGUGAAACUGCCUUAGAUAUUGCCAGUCUUGAAUUAGGGAGAGGUUCGUGGAAUUCCGAGUGUAGCAGUGAAAUGUGUAGAUAUUCGGAAGAACACCAGUGGCGAAGGCAGCGAACUGGCCCUUAAUUGACGCUCAGGCACGAAAGCAUGGGGAUCAAACAGG